This 529-nucleotide ribosomal RNA is filed under the name uncultured Pelagibacterales bacterium. RNAcentral describes it as "bacterial SSU rRNA". It matches the Rfam family "Bacterial small subunit ribosomal RNA", at positions 89 to 652 of the family's 1533-position model. The record is from RNAcentral. Lineage: Bacteria; Pseudomonadati; Pseudomonadota; Alphaproteobacteria; Candidatus Pelagibacterales.
UACUUAGUGGCAGACGGGUGAGUAACAUGUGGGUAUCUACCCUUUGGCCUGGAAUAACACGAGGAAACUUGUGCUAAUACCGGAUAAGUCUUUACGGAGAAAGCUUUAUGCACCAUUGGAUGAGCCCGCACUUGAUUAGUUUGUUGGUAGGGUAAUGGCCUACCAAGACUAUGAUCAAUAGCUGAUUUGAGAGGAUGAUCAGCCACAUUGGGACUGAGACACGGCCCAAACUCCUACGGGAGGCAGCAGUGGGGAAUCUUGCACAAUGGAGGAAACUCUGAUGCAGCGAUGCCGCGUGAGUGAAGAAGGCCUUUGGGUUGUAAAGCUCUUUCGUCGGGGAAGAAAAUGACUGUACCCGAAUAAGAAGGUCCGGCUAACUUCGUGCCAGCAGCCGCGGUAAUACGAAGGGACCUAGCGUAGUUCGGAAUUACUGGGCUUAAAGAGUUCGUAGGUGGUUGAAAAAGUUGGUGGUGAAAUCCCAGAGCUUAACUCUGGAACUGCCAUCAAAACUUUUCAGCUAGAGUAUGAU